AGAAAGGCAAGGAAAAGGAAGAGUAAAAAACGGAUGUCUUUCAGAGAGCUGCCGGCAGGUGCAAGGCAGCAGCGGAAGUUUUUGAACUGGCCUUUGAGCUUCACUGCCGAAAAGAAGAGUAGGCAGCGGCGGUUAUUUCCCCGUUAUCGGAAAAUGAGUGCGUCUGUUGAGAAAGAAGACAGAUGAAUUAGAGUGGUACCACGGAAAAUUAAGCCCUUUCGUCUCUAAG
Molecule: non-coding RNA, 229 nt
Filed under: Blautia sp.
Lineage: Bacteria; Bacillati; Bacillota; Clostridia; Lachnospirales; Lachnospiraceae
Description: T-box sequence
Rfam family: T-box leader
About the family: Uncharged tRNA acts as the effector for transcription antitermination of genes in the T-box leader family.
Source: RNAcentral